CUCUGAGCACCAUUGACCACUUAUUGGAUUGUGGAAGAGACCUAACUCAAAUUUGGACCAAGAAGUGACUUGAAAUCAAGAUCUCUCCCCAGAAGAGACAACAAUGAAUAGUGCUGUUCACGAGGAGUUGCUGGCUCAGCAGGCCUCUUUGUCUCUGUGCUCAUGACAAGGACAUAUCACCUAACUCUGGGCUCUGGCUCACUUAGUAGCUUCUUUGCCGUUGGACUCUCACACCGAGAUGUCACCGAGCAGCAGCCUUUCCCAGGAAGUUGUUAAGGAGAUGGGAAUCCUCAUGCCUGCUGCUUUUUCCCAAAUCAGAGGAAGCCCGGGAGCCAGUUGCAGUAAAGUCUUGCCAGUAACGUUUCUCUUAAGAACGGUGAGAAAAUACUAUGAAAAGUCACAUUUACUUUGAUCUAGAAUUAAGUAAAUUUCGGUGUUUGGGUCUUUGGCAAAAUGUCACAAGUGGAAAGUCAGGACUCACAUGAUGUCUAG
RNAcentral lists this long non-coding RNA (492 nucleotides) under Homo sapiens (human). RNAcentral's name for it is "non-protein coding lnc-CA2-2:1". The record is from RNAcentral. Lineage: Eukaryota; Metazoa; Chordata; Mammalia; Primates; Hominidae.